Long non-coding RNA from Bos taurus (domestic cattle), 719 nucleotides. Lineage: Eukaryota; Metazoa; Chordata; Mammalia; Artiodactyla; Bovidae. The record is from Ensembl.
CAAGAAGAUAGGAAAGGAACAAAAGAAGGAAAGAAAUCACCAAUUGUGUAAACUUGGGCUAGAUACUUAAAUUCUUUGGAACUCAGUUUCCUCACCUGCUUAUCUCAGAUAAGUCUCAAGUGAGAUAAUACAGGAGAAUACAUUCUAAUUGCAGAGAGCUGUAGAACUACACAGCCUCUAUUUUCAGUAGCCAGAAGUCAAUGAAGUAACCCCACAGGCCUUUGACCUGAGAAUUUUCAGGUAGAGACUUCUUCAUGGAUAAUCCUGAAGAGAUAAAUGCAAGGCAGAGAAGAAUGGGGUAGUCAAAGAUGAGUGUUGCAAAGAAAUACUUCUCUGCCUCCCACCAGGGACCAGAAGUUUCACCGCCUUUUUCCAGACCUCUAGGAGAACUGGUUGGAUGAGGUGGUUGGAUGGCAUCACCGACUCAAUGGACAUGAGUUUGGGUAGACUCCAGGAGUUGGUGAUGGACAGGGAGGCCUGGCGUGCUGCAGUCCAUGGGGUCACAAAGAAUUGGACACAACUGAGCGACUGAACUGAACUGAACUGAAGGACAACUAUUCCUCCCUGGCUCCUCUGAGUCCAGUGUGUUGAUGACCACAUGCUGUGUAAUGACUCAGUGCUUCCGCCUCUUGUCUCCAUUCAACUACGCAGAGCCUUCCUUCAUACAUCCUGUGAUGAAGUCAUUUGGCCUUCACUUGCAUGCAAGGGCGGCAACCGAG